AUGCCCGACCCAAAUAACUGCACACAACGAGAAUACCAAUGUUGGGUGGUUGUAAACAUUCCUGGAAUUCACGUGGAACACGGUCAAGUUUUGACUGACUAUAUUCCACCUCCGACGCCAAUUGCUUACGGUUCUCAACGGUAUGUCUUCUUGGUUUAUAUCCAGCCAAAAGGAAACGUGUCAUUUUCGGAGGAUUAUCUCCCUCCAGUGCCAAAUGAUAUGGUGCGGCAAAACUUUUCGACUGCCGAGUUCACAAAAAAAUAUGCCUACGGAGUGCCGUUUGCAGCUAACUGGUUCCGAAUAAACUGGGGAUCAUUCAACAGAUCUUGAAUGCAAAUGCCUCUCACCAAGAAUGUUCAAAGUUGUUUCUCUUUUUUUGUGCAGUAUAAAAUAAGAAAAUGUAAAUUAUAUUUAGCGCAAAAAUAAAGAGAAAUAAAGACAUCGUUACAUCCUUUUCGUGCUUCUUUUCUUGACCAAUAUUUAAUUAUCAGUUUCGCUUCAAAAUAUUCGAAAAAUAAUCGAUUAUUUCGCAUGUUGAUUACUGCUGUGAGAAAAACACAGUCCGCAAGUGGUCUUCAAUGAAAUGAGCAGAAUGUUAUGAAUUAAAAAAUACCACUUACAUCUUAUUAAUGGAAAAAAUGUCGAUCAUAAAUUAUCAACUUUAUUGUGGCAACGUGCAACGUGAUAACGGACCUAGGACAGUGGCCUGGCGUGUUUUGUGAUACAUCGAUUGAUCUGCCAUUGAAACCUAUUGAUAAGGAUCGCAGAACGGGGUGUUCGCAACGAACACCAUUACAAUCGAUUCUCUACCACAACUUCAAGGCGGAAUAUCACCAAUCGAUUAUUCACGCUACCCCAUUGACCCAGGAAAGUGUCCUGCCGCGCGUUUGUGAAUCACUGACAAUGAGCCAUUUAACCAGUCUUAUCGAAACUGAAACCAUCAAGUGAUGUCUCAAUCUCGAUUGAAGCGUGGCGUGCUUUGCGAUAUAUCGAUUGAUCUACCAUUAAAACCUAUAGAAAUGGUUCGAUAAACAGGGUGUUCGCAGUGAACACCUAGUAAUAAUAUAUUCUUUACUACUGCUUAAAAUGUGGAAAUAUCGAUAAAUCAAUCACUCACGCCUCUCCACUGAUGUCAAUGAGAUUUAACCCUCUUCACCAAGUGUAAUUUUCAUAAGGACAAAGGUUGAUUCUAUAUAAAUUAAAAGAUUUUUUCGUUUAUUUUCAUGAUUGUGUGAAAUUAGGUAUAAUUAAAAAAUUAUGGAUACAAAUUUAAUGCUCAUCAUUUGAUUCCACUCGAAGUGUGUCAUCUUUUCAAAAUCACGUUAUCCCUCGAGGCACCAUAAAAAAUCAAACAAUAGAGCAUGGGCA
This 1368-nucleotide long non-coding RNA is filed under the name Bemisia tabaci. RNAcentral describes it as "lncRNA ENSASIAIIG000540". Lineage: Eukaryota; Metazoa; Arthropoda; Insecta; Hemiptera; Aleyrodidae. The record is from RNAcentral.